RNAcentral lists this ribosomal RNA (494 nucleotides) under uncultured bacterium. RNAcentral's name for it is "partial 16S ribosomal RNA". It matches the Rfam family "Bacterial small subunit ribosomal RNA", at positions 28 to 507 of the family's 1533-position model. The record is from RNAcentral.
GACGAACGCUGGCGGCGUGCUUAACACAUGCAAGUCGAACGGUGAAGCGCCUUCCUUUUUGGUGGGUGUGGAUGAGUGGCGAACGGGUGAGUAACACGUGAGUAACCUGCCCCCUUCUUCUGGAUAACCGCAUGAAAGUGUGGCUAAUACGGGAAAUUCUGGGUCUGUCGCAUGAUGGGUCUGGGAAAGAUAUUGUUUCGGUGGGGGAUGGGAUCGCGGCCUUUCUGAGUGUUGGUGGGGUGAGGGUCUGCCAGGGCGGUGAGGGGUAGCCGGCCUGAGAGGGUGGACGGUCACCCGGGGACAGAGACACGGCCCAGACUCCUACGGGAGGCAGCAGUGGGGAAUAGUGCACAGUGGGCGCAAGGCUGAUGCAGCGACGCCGCGUGAGGGAUGGAGGCCUUCGGGUUGUGAACCUCUUUCGCCAGUGAAGCAGGCCUGCCUCGUUUGUGGGUGGGUUGACGGUAGCUGGAGAAGAAGCGCCGGCUAACUACGUG